This 288-nucleotide long non-coding RNA is filed under the name Malus domestica (apple). RNAcentral describes it as "long non-coding RNA (MDOM_LNC014806)". The record is from RNAcentral. Lineage: Eukaryota; Viridiplantae; Streptophyta; Magnoliopsida; Rosales; Rosaceae.
AUACAAACAUGAAAUACCCCCACACUUAUUCUUUUGCCAAACACCUUCAAAGUACUUCACAAACGUUUCUCAUAAGACAAUCUCGCAUUGCUCGCUUGGAAAGGGUAAGGAAAAAUGUUUCAGGUAUAAGGGUAGACAUAUUUGGUGAUAAGAAAUAAAAGGCUCAACAUACACGGCUCAAAUUGGCAAUCUAAUGAUAUCAUUUUUCUUUGGGAAACAUGGUUAUUUGGGCCAUGGUGGUAAACCUAAUGCCUCUAUCAUUUCCAAGUUCAUGCAAUCAAUGACAAA